GUCAUCAGCAUCACUUCCCAGCCCCUGGGGCCCAGGAUCAUUGCACCACCCUCCUUCGAUGGCACCACCAUGAGCUUUGUGGUGGAGCACAGAUGAUGAACAGUCACCAGGAAGCAGAUGGAGACACUGCUGGAACAAGACAGAAAGAUGGACUAUUCUUUAAUAUGAAGGUUGCAUUGUAACAGCACUAAGAAUUCACCUGAAAACUUCCUCUACAUGUGUUAUUCUUAGUUUUGCUCUUAUAAACCGAGUGUGUAAGUUUCUAUAUUUUCCUGAACAACCCUGUUAAGACAGUUUGUGUUAUUUUAGUUUUACUAGGCUGAUUGAAUGGUUGCAUUUUUCCCCUAUAAAAUUACUUCUUUUUAUACUUUAAUACAGGACAUAAGCUAUCUAUUUACCUUUUCCUCCAUUUGGCUAGACAAAAAAAAAAAAAAUCCCUUACGUAUUUUCACAUUUCAAACCAUACAAGAGAAUGGUAUUUGUUCUGUUGUAAACCAAACCAGUAAAUCAAUAACUUGGAUUCCAAAUUUCCUUGUAGGUUCUUGGAAUACAUGAGGACUAGCUGGCAGAAUUGCAGCACAUGCUUGGAUUUUAAAUAUGAUGGCUCCUCACUUUGAAUCAUAUACCAGUCGUGCCUAGUCAUUCUCUUGGUUAUAAACUACACGUUCUUUUAUUGGGUUUAGCAUGAUUUCAGAUGUGAUUGUGAAAAAUAGUGGUUUUAACUUUUGUGCUUUGUUUUAAUUUUCCCAUGUACAAUGUCAUGACCCUAUAUGUUGCCUUAAAAUAGAAUGGCUUAAAAUACUGAAAGCCAUUGAUUAUAUUUAAAAUUAAGUUCUUAGUCUCAGGAAGGCAUAAAAUAUCUCUUUCUCUCUAGUAACC
Miniopterus natalensis is the source of this 879-nucleotide non-coding RNA. The record is from RefSeq and is a predicted model, not a curated record. NCBI's taxonomy places the organism in Eukaryota, Metazoa, Chordata, Mammalia, Chiroptera, Miniopteridae.